RNAcentral lists this ribosomal RNA (492 nucleotides) under uncultured bacterium. RNAcentral describes it as "partial 16S ribosomal RNA". It matches the Rfam family "Bacterial small subunit ribosomal RNA", at positions 29 to 507 of the family's 1533-position model. The record is from RNAcentral.
AGUGAACGCUGGCGGUAGGCCUAACACAUGCAAGUCGAACGGCAGCACAGUAAGUGCUUUCUCUUACUUUUUUCGAGUGUCGUACGUGUUCGUUAUACAUCGUAUUCUACUUUUUCGUUGGGGUUAUCGUAGGUUAACUUACUCUAUUACCUCAUUCGUCCUACCUUUUUUUUCCUUGGUUCUUCUCUCCUUUCGCUUUUUAUUGACCCGAUGUCGGAUUAGCUAGUUGGCUGGGUAAAGGCCCACCAAGUCGACGAUCCGUAGCUUGUCUGAGAGGAUGAUCAGCCACACUGGAACAGAGACGCGGAACAGACAACUACGGGAGGCAGCAGAGGGGAAUAUUGGAAAAUGGGCGCAAGCAUGAUACAGCAAUACCGAGUGGGUGAAGAAGGCGUUCGGGUUGUAAAGACCUUUUGUUGGGAAAGAAAAGAAGCAGGAUAAUAACCAGCUGUAGUGACGGUAACAAAAGAAUAAGCACCGGCUAACUACGUG